This is a non-coding RNA of Heterocephalus glaber (naked mole-rat), 1487 nucleotides long. Lineage: Eukaryota; Metazoa; Chordata; Mammalia; Rodentia; Bathyergidae. The record is from RefSeq and is a predicted model, not a curated record.
UGAGGUGGGGCUGGGCUCCCACGCCUCUGGCUGACGUCAGGUCUAGGCGGCCUAUUGAAAACCUGCUGGGGUUCUGAAGCAGGACACAUCCAUGGAAAGGCUAAGAAUAGCACGAAAGGACACCCAGGAAAGUCACAGCCUCGGGUGACCAGGAGAGAACAGGAUGACACAGAUUCGGAUCAGAUACCCCGCUACUGGAGGCUUAAUUGGAACCUAGUCUGAGGAAGUUUUCUAAGUGAUCGAGGGGAGACUUAGCUGGAAAACAGAAAGUGGGCAGGAUUCCUCUUGCCUACCAAGAGCUUUCAAAAAUCCGAUUCAUCAGGCAAGAACACAGAAUUGUUUACUAUGUGGAAUUAUAACUGUAUAGUUACCCUUGUCCUUUUUGUCUUUGCUUAUUUUAACCAAUGCACUACUUUCUAAGAACGGUUUUCCGUUUACAGAAAAACUGAGCAGGAGAUGUAGAACGCUUCCAUAGACUUCUUUCACCUACCCCACCGCUCCCCGUUUUAUUAACCUCUUGCUUUAGUGUGACACCUUGAUGUCAUCGAUGCACCAAUGCUGAUGUACUGCUAUUAACUACAGUCCCGGAUCACAUUUGGCGUGGUGCGUCCUGUGGGUUUUGAUCACGGUGUGACGACGCGUAUCCCCCAUUGCAGCAUUGUGCACCGCAGCUUCACCGACCGCAAAUCCCCUGUGUCUCACCUGCCCAGCCCUCCUCCCCCGGAGCCCUGGAAGCCACUGGUCUUUUACAGUCACGUAGUUUCGCCCUUUUCCAGAGGUUAGGAUCUGCAGCUUUCCAAAUCGGCUUCUUCCACUGAGUGGUACGCAUUUAAGCUUCCUCCACAUCUUUUCUUCAUUUUUAUCACUGAGUAAUGCUCCAUUAUAUCCACGUAGCACAGUUUGUUUAUCCGCUCAUCUGCUGAAGGACAUCUUGGUUACUUCCAACUUUUGGCAAUUACAAUGAAGCCUCUGUGAAGGAUUCUUGGGCAGGUGUUUUAUGAACUGUUUUCAGCUCAUGCACACAAAUGGUGAGGUACAUAAUUGCUCCUCUUUUUUUCAAUACAACUUUUACAUCUGGUGUUCUUAUCUCAAUAAAUUACGAUUUGCCUUACAUGGCUAACUCCUAUGCCUGUACCCCUUUCAAUUUAUUUUCCUUUAAUACCAUUUCCAUUUCUGGUACAAACAAUUCACAUGGAAUGCCAGAUAUGUGCAGACUACUUUUUUUCUGAAAAACAAAAAAAUAUUUCCAACUCUUCCCCAGUAGGCGUAUCAUCGAUGGAGGUGGCCCAUGAACCAGCCUGUGUUCCAUUUCUGCAGGUGAAGUGCUGACACUCAUUUUUACCAAAGCAUAACUGCCUUGUCACUUACACCAGCCUUUCAUUCAGAGCAGUGGCGCUGCCCAAGGAGGAGCAGCCAUGACCACAGAGCUCCCGGGCUCCCUCAGUGUGUAUGAUCUCGGGACAGUUACUCAAUGACUUUUCUGGUGU